UCUCUCUCAUCCACCCAUUAAUGAUCUGAGAAUCUGUUUUCAUCACUAACCUUUAAACCACAAACAAAAACAUGGUGUGAACCCUUUUUUUUUUGAUUUUGGUAGAGGAGACAAGAUCUCAUUUCCUACAACUUUAUCAACAUGAUGAUUGAGCUCAAAACAUAUUAGGCCUGUUCAGUUUGCAGCCGGAAUUGGAAUGAUCUAUUCAAUAGCCUGUUUGGUUGAGACAGGAAUAGGAAUCAGCUAAAAUGGAUCUCAUUUCCAAGGAAGAGGGAGAGAAUGACCAUUCUCUCAAAUGGGAGAAUGCCAUUCCACUAGGAAUGGGAACGGGAUUCUGAUUCUAAGCAAUCAAACAGUUUGCUAUUCUGAUUCCGGUUCCAGAUCCUUUUUCCUGCAAACCAAAUGGGCCCAUUGUUCUAUUUAAGCCACUUUAAAACUAACUGGUACCAUUUAUUGAAUAUGUUACAAUUGCAUUUUGCAUCCUAGGCAACUAUGUCAACUUUGUCAACUUUGUCCCUUGUAAUAUAAAUAAAAAAUGCUGUGAUGGGAAAUUUAGGUGAUUUCUCCAAUUUGUGCCUCCCUACUUGCACUUUAGUUAUGUUGGUUCUUUCCCCAUCCACAUGCCUAAUGUUCUUGCCAAUGAACUUUGAUUUGUAAAUAUUUUAUAUUCUAAAUAAACACAAAAAAUAGGAACCUUGGUAGAUAUUUUAUAUAAUCUUUUAUAAUUGCAAUAUAAUGUACAAAUUAGUGAAUCUGGAAAUGACUCCAUCGUGUCAUGAUGAGAAAGAUUAACCUAUCUUUAGGGAAUUCAUUAUUUACAUUACAUGUGAAUUCAUUCUAUGCUUUAUUUGUACGUCUCAUCUUACUGUCUCAUAGGUGUUUUCUUUUUCUGUUUUUUUUUCAAAAUUACCAAGGUAUCUAUGAUGAGAAUUUUGAAUAUACAAGAAAUUUGUGUCAAGAGCAAUUGUAUUUCAUGCAAUAAGAAGUAUUGCAGAAUAGGCGAUGAGAUGUUCAUAUGAAUAUUUUUGAAUGCAAACGAGGGUAGCAAACAUGAGGUGUUAAUGUAGCUUGAGCAGGAUGAUUUUUGGGUGACCUUAUUAACUAACAUCUUUGAGAAGUUCUUAAUGGAUGGAAAUGGAAAGGUUGCUGAGAGAUGCCCACAAAUAACCUCACCUUUCUAGAUUGAGGACAUUCAGAAACCACUUGCAGCAUAAAUUUCAAGCAACUACAGACAAAGUUUUCAGAAAUGCACUUUGUUCAUGUGUUUUUGAACCCCCCUUACAUUGAACAAGUGAUGGUGAUGGAGAAGUUUGAAGAGUCAAAACUGGAAUUUCAUAGCUUUUAUGUAUUUCUGAAUUUUUGAAAAGUAGUAGUAUUGUCAUUUUGAUCAUUGUAUCUGGGGUUCAGUAGUUUGAAUUUUCUAGCCAUAGUGCAGUUAUGCUUAAAUUUUCCGUGUCAUUGGUUAA
Molecule: long non-coding RNA, 1466 nt
Organism: Nelumbo nucifera (sacred lotus)
Lineage: Eukaryota; Viridiplantae; Streptophyta; Magnoliopsida; Proteales; Nelumbonaceae
Source: RefSeq, a predicted model, not a curated record